AAGCUUGUAAAGAAUUUCAGUACGAUAACUGUCAUAACAACAGAAAGCACUCUCAUAAGACCAGAUCGUCUUCCUGAUUUGUUGUGGCAUCCCCGAGGGUAAGCAGGCAUUUCAUUUCUCGGCUUUUCAUUUUAUUUGAAUGACAUCAACCUGGAAAUCACGACUGCAGUGCUCAGAACAGAAACCUCACAGUAGAACGUCGAGCUGUGUGCGUACAAAUACGAAAUGGAUUUGCCAGUGCGAUUUAUUGUCUCUGGUCUCAUUCUUCAAUCAGCAACAAAAACUUUGCAAACACGUGUGUCUCGCUGCAUAAUAUAUACAUGUGUGCGGGUGUCUGUGAUAAACUGCCUUCACUCGAGAAGACAUGGGAGUACUGGAAGGCAACUCGUGUACAAAAGUAGAUGACAAUGAAAACUGAUACACAAGGUGUGUUACACAUGAUUUUUUGUGAAUGGCAGUUAGAGAUUUUUUUUAAAGUCCAAUAACGUGUAACUCCGCAAAGGAGCGCCCUGUAUCCUUCACCCUCCCCCAUGCCGCUCCGGCGUUCAGCCCAGCCCCGCACCAUUCAUCCUAACUGUGCCAGCACAUCCCUCGCAGCGAAGGGACAGGCACAGCCACCUGGUGCACGGGGACGAUCACUGAGCCGGGCCUAAGGGUUCCACGAUCCCUGUCAGCACCCCAGUCGGCCCUAACGAGUUCCAUCUGUGCUAACAAAGCAACGACUUGCAGGUGCAGCGGGGCGGGCUGCCAGGGCACAGGUGUGCCUGGUCAGGAGCCCAGGGCAGGGCCCGCCCCUAAGCCUUUUAAACCCCUCCGGAGGCUGCUGGGAGCCACAGAGGAGCUCCUGUAGUUCCCUGUCUGUGGGGCUGGGUGACUGCUGGGCUCCCUGUCUGGGGCUGGGCUCUCCUUACUUUGUGGGUAAGUGCGGUACUUUUGCUUGGUUCCUGCUUUUUUUUGUUUGUUUCAGGAGUUGGAGCCGGGUUGCUGCUGAAUUUUCUGAGGUUGAGCCCAAUCCUGAUGCAUGUGAGUGCUGCAGGUCUUUCUGCUUGUAGCGACGGGAGUGUGAACAGGAUGAGGCUGUGUCCUUCUGUCCAGCCCUAGCGCCACUAGAGGGUGAGGGCUGCAGCAGGGCCCCUUGCAGCGAGAAUCAGUCCAAGCCUGCUAGCAGCUUUGGCAGUAGUCUGGGAUUCCCAACAGCAGAAGGACACGGAGCUGUCUGUGAAGAAGAAUGUGGGGCUGGAGCAACUCUGGUCCAGGGUGGUGUGAAGCUGUAGGAGGCCUUAUGGAUGGAGGUGAAGGAAGCUGGGUCCUCCCUUGGGAUUGAGUGUUUUGCAGCAUCGGGCUUCGGUUCCUGGCUUGAUAGCAUGUAGCAGAGGAUCUCUAGAGAGAAGGAGCUGAAGGAGCAAGAAGCAGGGGGAGUGUUGCUUUGCUGCACAAACAGCACUUCCUGGUGGGAACCGGGGAUGGCAGUGUUCCCUGGCUGUCUUCCUUUCCAGGUCCUGGUGCAGCUGAUGCUGGGAGCUGUGUUGUUUGACUGCAGCGAGUGCCUUUCCUGUGGACUUUGAAGUGACUGCUGAUGGAAUGGGCUGACCCUUGGUCUUGUGGUUCUGACCGAAGUGGAUUUGGAAUGGCUCAUGAAGAUCACUUAGUUCCAACAUCAGAGGAAUCCUCUUUCCAAAGGAAGGCCAGACCUGUCUCCUAAUGUCCAGGAGCAAGGAUUGCUUGAUGAGUAGGUGUGUACAAUUAUCUUCUGUUUGUUUUGUGCUUCUUGGGCUUUGUUGCGUUUGAAGUGCUGCUUGUGGCAAGUAAGCACUCAGCAGGGUUUGUGUCUUGUGUGAGCCAUGGGCUUUCUGUUUUUGGAAGUGAGAUGGGGCUGAGGAUGUUAUUGUUGUGGACUUUGCUUUUGGAGUAGUGUGCUAAGUAUCAUGAAAUGAGGUUGUCUCUGCUCUGUGUGUCUUGAAAUGGAUGGCUAAGUGGUUAUUGUUUGUUUCUUGUUGAGUGAAGUAAUUGCUGUGCUUGGUUUUACUAAAGUUGUAUUGAUGUUAUCGGUCUUGUGUAUGCUGUUGACUUAAGUUCUAGAGUUUGGGGCUGUCAUGCUUAGCAUUGGGUGAAGUGGUUUGUUGUUUUCCUGGGGGUGUCUUUCAGGUGAUUGGCAGAAGUGUUUGAGUUGGUAUUGUUUGAUCU
Non-coding RNA from Phasianus colchicus (ring-necked pheasant), 2184 nucleotides. The record is from RefSeq and is a predicted model, not a curated record. Lineage: Eukaryota; Metazoa; Chordata; Aves; Galliformes; Phasianidae.